Long non-coding RNA from Ictalurus punctatus (channel catfish), 4095 nucleotides. Lineage: Eukaryota; Metazoa; Chordata; Actinopteri; Siluriformes; Ictaluridae. The record is from Ensembl.
CCCAGGUCCCCAGUCCUCCGGGUCCCCAAGUCCCAGUCCUCCAGUCCCCCAGGUCCCUUCUACACCUGCCAGAUAUACGUCUAGAUGACAUCCAGCGACUUGCAGGCAGAUUUACACUCACGCCACAUUCUACACUCGAUAAAGGAAGAAGAAUUCUUCAUGGAGAAGUAUCUGUGUGGUCAUGACCCGGCGCAGCUCACGUUAGUGGAGGAGUUAGGAAAACGGUAGAUGUUAGCUUUCUCUUCUGCAGACAGAAAGCCCUUAUUGUUGAUUAAUUUACCGUAAUGCAGACCACACACUCUUCUUUUAGCCGAGUUUCCAUAUUACCAAUGUUAUCUACAGAUUGUGUAUUCUUAGAUAAAUGUCAGUGACGUAAUCGCUUAGCUUAGUUUAGGAUCUUAGCGGGUUUAAAGCAAAAAAUAAAUGUAUUAAGUAAAUAAAUAAUGAUGAAACACUCCAGUAUAGCUCCCAGUAUAGCUCCUGUCCUGGGUGAAGUGUCCGGAUUGUUGCCCGGGAACGAGCAGCACCGAGCCAGACGCUUCACCCAGGAAACACGGAGGCCACGACCCUGAUGGUGACGCUGAGAUACGAGCUACACCGGGAUUUUUCAACAAACAGUGAGUGCGUUUCAUUAUUAUUAUUAUUAUUAUUAUUAUUAUUAUUAUUAUUUCAUUUAAAAGUGCUAAGACCACAAGCUAAGCUAGGCUAAUCUAACUGGCGAAGGUAGAUAUCUGAGCACACACCGCUUCUCCUUCGUCUCGCGGGAUAUGAUGCACACGUACACUGAUGAAUGUUAUAUAAGAUCGCUUCAGAACAUUUCAUUUUUGCAGCAAGAAAAACGGUUUUGGAUUCUGGACUCUGAUUGGUCAGAAGGUGUUGAUUAGUUUUCUAUAACAGCAGCUCUGAGAGUAAGCUCCCUCCAUCUCUCUCUCUCUGUCUGUCUCUCUCCCUGCAUACAUCUCUCUCCCUCCAUCUCUCUCUCUCUUUCUCUCUCUCCCCAUCUCUCUCUCCCUCAAUCUCUCUCUCUUUCUCUCUUUCUCCCUCCAUCUCUCUCUCUCUCUCUCUCUCUCUCUCUCUCUCUCUCUGGCUGCUGUGUUUCUUCAGCCUCUUCUCUGCCGAAAGCCGUAUUGUGGUAACGGAGAGGAGUAAGAGUGCUGUGCAUGGGGAGUUAGGUGCGGUUUUGGACGCUGAGCUGAGGAAAAUGUGACUGAGCCACAUUGUAUUUGCUCUUCUCCCAACAUGUAUGAAAAAAAAUUAAAAAGAAAAGCGAGAGAGAGAGAGAGAGAGAGAGAGAGAGAGAGAGAGAGAGAGAGAGCGUAGAGCAGCAGUAAGUCUUAAAUUUAGAACAGACCUCCUUUCAAGGGCAAUGAUUCGCUGAAUGAGAAGAGAGGAGGAUCAACAUCAGUGUUAAAAGACGAGUGCUGUGCUGCCUCUCUCUCUCUCUCUCUCUCUCUCUCUCUCUCUCUUUUUUCAGUUUUCUGACUUUUUUUUUUUUACAUUUUUUUUCCUCCACAUCGGGAAUCUGCCAAGAGCCGCCUGUGUCCAAACGCUGAGGCUCCCGCCAUCUGCAGCAAAUGUGGUCCAUUAAAGCAAUACCAUAUGGACGACAAGCUCUCGCUAUUAACACGGCUUCUGGACGCUCUGCCAUCUUCCCAACACACACACACACACACACACACACACACACACACACACACACAGCAGGCUCUCAUAUUUUAAAACUUUGGGACGAACUCAUGCAGGGUGUGUGGGCUCGAGCGCUGAAGCCAGUGAUUCUGUCAUUUUAUGAAGCUUUGCCUACAGCUUCCAUGGAGAGAUGCUCUUCAUUCAACACUCUGUAGAUCUUUGAUGGCUACCAGAGAUAAUGGAAAGAGAAAAAAAAAAAGCACUUGAACAGCGCUAUGAAUCUCUCCCUGCUUUUAAUAUAACAAGGAGGGGAAGUGAGGUUUUAAAGCCUUAGCAAAUGGCUGUGAGUCAAAUCAGGCACAUCAGAUCUUCCACCCCGAUGAUGACUGGUUUCUUCAAGAAGUCAAGAUGCUGGAAAAACCAAAGGGUGUGGAGAUGUGGUGAGGAGAUGGUGGAUCUAUCCGUGCAACACUAGCCAACACCCCCUCGGAGAGAGAGAGAGAGAGUGAGAGAGAGAUGUGAGGGAACCCAUCCACACAUUAUAUAAAGCCUCUUCUCUUCUCAGCGACAUGACGGUAAAGCUCGCGUCUCUGUUCUCCCACACACACACACACACACACACACACGGUGGGGAACAUACACAACGCAAAUCAAUUACACCUCUGUGAUUUGUCUCCCCCAACCCCUGAGUCUCACAGCAUUCCUGUUUGUUGAUUUUCUGCCCCAGAACGCGUACGCCGACACGUUCACAAUUAGACAGAGAGAGAAAAAAACAGAGAUGUUUCACAACUGUCCUUUCAAUGCCUUUCCAAUGCCACAGAAGACAGGUAUUAGUAAAAAGAAAAAACACACGCACACACACACACACACACACACACACACACACACACAAUGGGCCUCAUUUAUCAACCUCUUAGUAAAAUCUGUACAUAUUGACACUACGCUCACCUUCUUUGUUGAAAAUGAUCACACUCAUUCACGGCAUAAUUUACAUUUAGCCACGCCCACAAAACCCCAUAAAAGCCGAAGCUCAUCUUCGCGUCCGAAGGGUAGCCCGCGCUAAAACUUCCAAUAGUGCAGCUCAGCCACUGCAGCGCAAACGCUUCCUCCUUUUUUUUUUUUUUUAGGGCGCCAAUACUUUUUGUCCCAGUUGUACAGGUAGUCGUAAUUAUUAUGUCUCGUUUGCUUUCUUUCAAGUCGCUGAUAUGAAACGACCCAAAACCAGCAAAUUGGUGUUGAAGUGAUUUAAACGUGUCUUUCGAGAUUCUCCUGAGCAUGUAUUAAAGAUCAGACUGAGCUCUGAUUGGCCAGAAAUGCUCACGGAACACAAUAUAAUUUGCAUAUUGCAGUCUUCUGUGAUUUCAGUAUUCCAAUAAUGAUAUAUAUUAUAUAUAUAUAUAUAAAUAAUGAUAUAGCUAUAUAACGAUAUAUCACACUGUUCUAUAUCCUCAGAGUUAAAAUUAGCGUAUUAAAUACUUUUUUUUUUUGUGUAGAAUUAAGGUCCAUUUGUCUUGCGCCUUGACUGAUUUCCAGACCAAGAGCGCUCGCUCCAACACCGUGUCACACAGGCGCAUACCUGCGGGUGUUUUCAUUUCACACGAUUAAUUAAUCAAUGACUGCGAUGGAGGAAGUCUCGUGGAGAGAGAUUGAUGGGGAAAUGCAUGAGGAUAAUCAGUUCUGACAAGAGCACACACACACACACACAAAUACACAUGCACAUACACAUGCACACAUGCACAAACACACACACACAUGACUAGUCUUAGAUUACAUUUAGCAAUGACAAGCACAGCCACAAAAAAAACCCAGAUCACUUCUUGCACCGAUGUCAUGCGUACAUUGUAAAGACCGUGUGUUGUGUCAGAAUGUAACAAAGGGCUUUAUAUUUUGUAACAAUGUAUCUAAACACUCCGUGUCAGGUAACAGUGUAACAACAUCCACGACACGCUGUGUAACAUAGGCCAGGUCUCAUAUAACAAUUUAAUAAAAGACUCCUGUUACAACGUAGCAAAAGACACUGUAUUGUAUUACAAAUUUCUUGUAAGAGUGUAACUAGUGACACCUUAUCAUGUACAAAUGCAACAAAAGACUGUUGUGGUAACAGUGCAGCAUAAUUCUUGUAACAACAUAACUAAAGUCUCUGUCUAGUGUAACAACCUAACUAAAGAUUCAGUACUGUAUAACUACAUAACUAAAGAUUCAGUACUGUGUAACAACAUAACUAAAGAUUCAGUACUGUGUAACAACAUAACUAAAGAUUCAGUACUGUGUAACUACAUAACUAAAGAUUCAGUACUGUGUAACAACAUAACUAAAGAUUCAGUACUGUGUAACAACAUAACUAAAGAUUCAGUACUGUGUAACUACAUAACUAAAGAUUCAGUACUGUGUAACUACAUAACUAAAGAUUCAGUACUGUGUAACAACAUAACUAAAGAUUCAGUACUGUGUAACAACAUAACUAAAGAU